Molecule: ribosomal RNA, 344 nt
Filed under: Nematoda environmental sample
Lineage: Eukaryota; Metazoa; Nematoda
Description: bacterial SSU rRNA
Rfam family: Eukaryotic small subunit ribosomal RNA
Source: RNAcentral
GGUGGAGCGAUUUGUCUGGUUAAUUCCGAUAACGAACAAGACUCUAGCCUGCUAAAUAGUUCGCCGAUUGUCUAAUCUGUCGGCGUUAACUUCUUAGAGGGACAAGUGGCGUUUAGUCACACGAGAUUGAGCAAUAACAGGUCUGUGAUGCCCUUAGAUGUCCGGGGCUGCACGCGCGCUACACUGGCAAAAUCAACGUGCUUGUCCUUCCCCGAAAGGGGCGGGUAAACCAUUGAAAAUUUGCCGUGAUUGGGAUCGGAAACUGCAAUUAUUUCCCGUGAACGAGGAAUUCCAAGUAAGUGCGAGUCAUCAGCUCGCGUUGAUUACGUCCCUGCCCUUUGUAC